GACGAACGCUGGCGGCGUGCUUAACACAUGCAAGUCGAACGGUGAAGCUCCAGCUUGCUGGAGUGGAUCAGUGGCGAACGGGUGAGUAACACGUGAGCAACCUGCCCCUGACUCUGGAAUAAGCGCUGGAAACGGCGUCUAAUACUGGAUACGAGAAGGGUCCGCAUGGGCACUUUCUGGAAAGUUUUUCGGUUGGGGAUGGGCUCGCGGCCUAUCAGCUUGUUGGUGAGGUAAUGGCUCACCAAGGCGACGACGGGUAGCCGGCCUGAGAGGGCGACCGGCCACCCUGGGACGGGGAACCGGCCCAGACCCCGACGGGGGGCAGGGGGGGGGAAUAUUGCAAAAUGGGGGAAGGCCUGAUGCAGGGACGCCGGGGGGGGAAUGGCGGCUUUCGGGUUGUAAACCUUUUUCAGCGGGGAAGAAGGGAAAGUGACGGUACCUGCAGAAGAAGCCCCGGCUAACUACGU
RNAcentral lists this ribosomal RNA (467 nucleotides) under uncultured bacterium. RNAcentral describes it as "partial 16S ribosomal RNA". It matches the Rfam family "Bacterial small subunit ribosomal RNA", at positions 28 to 506 of the family's 1533-position model. The record is from RNAcentral.